CAAGUUGUUCAAUUGAAAAUGGUAGUAGAAGACAAUAUUCGCUUUAAUCUAACUCACGUGAUUUCGACAUUAUUUUAAAUUUAACUCAUUCACAAAAUGGGUAGAAAUAAGCAAAACAUUACAGUUUUAAUGGUCUACUAUGUCCUCUAGCGAGUUUCUAGAAACAUUACAGGUUGUCGGCAUAUUAUUUAACUAAUUGCCCCUCUUUUAAUACCUUUUAUAAUCUUAGAAUUUUUAAAGCAUUUGUAGUUGUAAUAGGAUACAUUGGCGUGAAAUGUUAAACUAUCUUUUUAAAGAUUAUUAAUAAUGAUACCACAUAAGUAAUUAUUUUCCCUUUCUUCGAGCUCUUCGUAAACCUACUUUAGAUUCUUCUUUGUUAUCAUCUGAUUAAAUAAAUUUAAGGUAUUUCGUGUACAAAUUUCCUUUACAAUAAAGUGUUAGGUACAGCUGUCAUUAGUUGUUUGAGAUCUUACUAUUUGACUGCUCUCAUAUGUAGAAAAAGUAAAAUCAGUUCUUUCCAUGGUUGUCAAGGUUUUGAUAUGCGUCAGUUUUUGAUUGUUUUAACCAUUUAUAAAGCCGUUCUUGCUAAUAAG
Molecule: non-coding RNA, 593 nt
Organism: Parasteatoda tepidariorum (common house spider)
Lineage: Eukaryota; Metazoa; Arthropoda; Arachnida; Araneae; Theridiidae
Source: RefSeq, a predicted model, not a curated record